GCCUCAGUAGCUCAGCCGGAAGAGCGCUUGCUUCGUAAGCAAGAGGUCGGGGGUUCAAUGCCCUCCUGAGGCU
RNAcentral lists this transfer RNA (73 nucleotides) under Nanobdellota archaeon. RNAcentral describes it as "tRNA-Thr". It matches the Rfam family "tRNA". From Rfam's summary of the family: Transfer RNA (tRNA) molecules are approximately 80 nucleotides in length. Their secondary structure includes four short double-helical elements and three loops (D, anti-codon, and T loops). RNAcentral also lists the same sequence under 1 other name. Lineage: Archaea; Nanobdellati; Nanobdellota. The record is from RNAcentral.